UUUCUAUGUGGAAGAAUAGACAACGUUCCACGUGCUAUGAAAAGAAGAUUGCGAGGAAAAAAUUCCAAGUGAUGAGUUAUCCUACACUUGGUUUAUCGGAUGUUUUGUGCUCUCCAUUUCCCGAUGUCAGAACAUUUUUAUAUAUAUCUAAUUUUGGAAAAACUAAAGUCACAAUUAUUUUUUUUAUAAACAUUUCUACUUUUAAGAAAUUUUGUUUCAGGCUCGGCAUGGUCAUAUGGUGUUCUCAAUUUUUGGAUAGCUUCGGUCUAGAUGUUCUUAUGAGCUUAAGUUCUUAAGAAAGAAGGUUUAUAAAAUUGCCAACUCAAAUAAUUUUACGGUAUUUUAGGGCGAUUCUCCUCUGGGAAAAUAUCGUCGCGUAGCAACAGACCGACAGAUGUUUGACAUUAUCAAUAGAGUACGCCGCCAAGAAGUUGGUCACCAAGGGGUUCAUAAAACGUUUGAAAAGAUAGCACGCACCUAUGAUAACGUUACUAGAGACGCUGCUGGUGCUUAUAUAAAGCUUUGCACAACUUGCUGUCUGAAAUCCAGUCAAAUAAAGAAAGCUCCAUUGAAGCCGAUUAUCACUACAGGAUUCUUACAGCGUGUACAGGUAUUUUUAAUACUUUUUCACUUUGUUUGUGCUAGUUAGUAGUUUUUUUGUUACAUUAUACAUGUCUUUCUUUAGAUUGAUCUGAUUGCUAUGUUAUCCAAACCAGAUGCCGAUUACAACUACAUUGGCCAUGUCGUGGACCGUUUUAGCAAAUUCAGGAUAUUAUUUCCAAUGAAAGGGAAAUCAGCAAAUGAAUUUGCUUCAAACUUUUUUAGAAGUUUUUUAGCGACUUUUGGGUUACCAAAAAUUUUGCACUCUGAUAACGGUGCCGAAUUUAUCAAUCACGCUCGUUAAAAUCUCACAUCUUCUCUCUGCCUGGACACACGUGAUAUGGCCGGGUGAGGUGUCAUUUGUUCAUGGGAAACCGCGCCACUCGCAAUCUCAAGGUUUGGUUAAACAAGGAAAUAACACCAUCCAAGUGAUGAUUAGUGCAAGAGAAAAAGAGUCCCAAACUUCAACGUGGUCAGAGUGGCUUCCAGAGAUUCAAUUUAUCAUGAAUGCUUCAAUGGUGAGGAGUGUGAAAAAAACACCUUACGAAAUUGUUUUUGGCCAGAAGCCAAAUGGUUUGGGUCAAAUUUCUUCAAGUCUACGGUCAGUGGAAGAGGAUAUUGUUUAAUAUAUCAUAGAAGAAAUGGAAGAAAAUGGUGCACAAGAUUUUGAAAAUGCUGAAACUGUGGAUUUUUUAAAGCACCCAAGUACAAGAAAAUUAUCGGAUUGUUUGGAAGAUGAGUUUGAAACAACAUGUCCGAAAAGACAAAAACUCAGACAAAAUGUUGUGGAGGAGGGUGUAAGAAACGCAGAAAUGAUGCGUAGAAAGUACAGCAAUGGAAAAAGAAUUAAAGUUGCUGAUUUCCUGGAGGGGGAUAAUGUUUCUUUGACAAUUCCAAAAGGUCUUAGAACAUCUUCGGAUUUAAAAAGAUUGCCAUGUGUGAUUGUACACAAAUCAGGUGGUAACCAACCAACAUAUAAACUCCUCUGUGGUGAAGGCACAAUUCAACGGCGUUACACGGCAUCCGCGUUGCAGCUGUACCCUCAACCAGUAAGAUACGAAAAAUUGGAAAAGGAAGAUCAAUUGCAUGCGAUCGCUGUCUUGUCUAGUGUCAUUUUAAAUGCUGCAAAUUGGCUGUAAAACCAUUAGGGGACUGGUUGUGCGAUCUAUGUUUACAUAUUGCAAAAAAAGAUUUCCAGCAGCGUCAACAACAAAGAGAAGCAGAGAAAGAAGUAGAAGACGAAGAAGAAAGGGAGAGGCAAUGGAGGAGAGAGUUUUUGCCAUUAUUAUACAAAAACGGUACCCUGGACUACCUGGUACAACAAUCGAAGCUGCCUGAAGUAAAUCCACUACUUUUGAUUAAACGUUCUGGUAGCAAGUAUCAAGCAUUUUAUAACGAAAUACUGGCGAAAAAACAUCCUCAAUUUUAUCAAAAACUGAUGCGUCAUUCGGACAUUGCAGAGCCAACUGGAGUCAUCACCAAUUACAUUCGGAUGAA
Long non-coding RNA from Hydractinia symbiolongicarpus, 2097 nucleotides. RefSeq lists it as uncharacterized. The transcript is spliced from 6 exons. The record is from RefSeq and is a predicted model, not a curated record. NCBI's taxonomy places the organism in Eukaryota, Metazoa, Cnidaria, Hydrozoa, Anthoathecata, Hydractiniidae.